UCAGAAGGUAUACAAGAGACUGCCUCGACGACGUGGGUUUCAAACUGAGUAACUCAUUGUUGGGUCUGGAUCUGUAAAAAGGUUUUGUCACUGAUGGGCAAUAUGGAGAGAAUGUAAAAAUACCUAACUUCAAACUGAAAAAAAGAAACAACUGGAAUGAAAACCUAUAAACAAUAGUUCAGAAGAUUGACAUAGAGGAUUUACCUACAGAACUUCAGGAUACUCCUAAGAAGCCCUUAAAUGAUCGUCUCAUCAAUAUUAUCAGGCCUUAUCAUUGUUUCACAUUUGCUAUUAUCAUGGGGAAUAUAAUAAUUAUUUACUGGUUAACUUCCUAGGGAAGAUUGCCUGCGGCUUAUUUAAGAUCCAAAUUUUAAAGUAAUAAUUUCUGUUGAAGCUGCUUGGGAGGUGGUUGGGUGGGCGGAUAGAGUGAAGCCAGGGACACACAGUAAAUGAGCUCAGGAUGUAGGCAGGUUUUGAUGUUUUACUUGCUUUUAUCCCUAAUGUUUUAUCCCUUCACGUUUGCUGUCUCACUGAACAUUUUGUCUAUUCUUCUAGUUAUGCAGUGAGCAGGUCUCCUGGAGAAAGAAGCCUCUUUUUAUGAGGAUUGGGGUGGUGACAGAUAUUAAUCAAAUGGUCUGAUUUCUCUGCUAUCCUUUCCUUUCCCCCAAAUGUUCUCAGGGGACCUGCUUGAAUGUUUUUCAAGAGAUCUGUAUUUUGACUUUUAGUAGCCUAUAGAUUAUCACUCAAUAAAACAAAUUGUUUUUAAGUGAAUUGCCAAAAAUCAUUUUAAAAAGGAAACUCUAUGAUUAUGGUUUCUGCUAGAAAGAAUUCUGACGGCUCAUAAAAGCAAUAUGUAUAAUUUUUCAUUUUUUAGAAGAAAAUAAAUACUUUCAUGUAAUGACUUGA
Rhinopithecus roxellana (golden snub-nosed monkey) is the source of this 906-nucleotide long non-coding RNA. RefSeq lists it as uncharacterized. The transcript has 3 exons. The record is from RefSeq and is a predicted model, not a curated record. NCBI's taxonomy places the organism in Eukaryota, Metazoa, Chordata, Mammalia, Primates, Cercopithecidae.